Cervus elaphus (red deer) is the source of this 166-nucleotide long non-coding RNA. RefSeq lists it as uncharacterized. The record is from RefSeq and is a predicted model, not a curated record. NCBI's taxonomy places the organism in Eukaryota, Metazoa, Chordata, Mammalia, Artiodactyla, Cervidae. The transcript has 3 exons.
UGGUGGCCCAAAGUGGGGCUUUUCAGCUUUUCCCUGAUAGGUUCCCUCUUUCUUACUAGGCGCAUGUUGAUUGGCUGGCUCCAGGUGGCCUGAUAAUCAUGUUACCCCAGAAAACCAGGCCUACUCCUAAUCUAGGCUGCCUGUCAUGGCAUUAGCCCUGGCAGCC